GCACCCUUAGCUCAGCUGGAUAGAGCGUUUGGCUUCGAACCAAAAGGUCGCAAGUUCGAAUCUUGCAGGGUGUA
This 74-nucleotide transfer RNA is filed under the name Acidobacteriota bacterium. RNAcentral's name for it is "tRNA-Arg". It matches the Rfam family "tRNA". Rfam says of the family: Transfer RNA (tRNA) molecules are approximately 80 nucleotides in length. Lineage: Bacteria; Pseudomonadati; Acidobacteriota. The record is from RNAcentral.